RNAcentral lists this long non-coding RNA (1809 nucleotides) under Homo sapiens (human). RNAcentral describes it as "non-protein coding lnc-STX8-4:1". Lineage: Eukaryota; Metazoa; Chordata; Mammalia; Primates; Hominidae. The record is from RNAcentral.
AGAAAGUCGGGCUCUGGAGUUUGAGCCCCAGUCCUGCCACCAAUUUGCAGCAUGACCUUGGGCACGUGUACUCCAGUCUCCUUGCUGGUGAUAAUGAGUCCCUGUCCCACAGGGUUGUCAUGAGUACACACUGGGAGCAUGUGGGUAAAGUGCCUGGCACACAGCAGGUGCUCAAUAAAUGGCAGCCGUGAUGCGGGUAAAUGUGGGGAAGGCGGAGGGAAGCCAGACCACCGGGGGCCGAGCUUCAUACUUGGUAUGACCCUUUUGAGCAGCCAAACUCUGGCCGGGAAAGUGAAACCAAUUUCCUGACUGUGAGGGGAGCCAGGCCUCUUAAUUCAGUGCGCCGGGUGUGAGGAUGUGGGCCAGAGGCCCGGGCAGUGCAGAGAGCCCAGGAAGGCAGGGAGCCAGGAGGCCCCAGGGCACAGGAAUGGACCCUGUGUGAGGAGGUCAGAACAAAAGGGGCUGCCUGCUUGAGGACCGUGUCUCUAGGAGAUUUUGGAAGGAGGGCUGGGGCACAGUGGAGGGCACGGGCAGACUCCACAAAGACCGUCUGGAAAGGCACGGUCAAGGUGUGGCCCAGGCCAGACCCAAGACAGCUGUAGGGGGCAGGCCGGCAGCCUCUGUGCCUUCCCUUGGAGAAGCCAGCAUGGCCUCCUUGGCCCCCAGGAACCUGGUCAUUCCUGUGCCCCUGCCCACCCAUGGCUCAGGCACUCUGGUACUUCACUGAGCCAGCAAACCCCAUCCCAGCUCAAACAAGCCCCCGGCCCCAAGCCAGGCCCAAGUGCCUUCGCAGCCUGCAGACUCCAAGCCCGUUCAGGCCCUUUCCAGCUGUUGACAUUGCUGAGGGGCCUUGCGGGAGCUGAUGUCAUUUACAUAAAUAGUGUCACUGCCGUAAACCCAGCCAGUGCCCCUCCCCCUCCCCCUGGAAAACGUCAUAAAAAGGGCUGGUUCCAAGUUUCCAAAAGGAAACUCUCUGGGAGGUUUUGCGUUUGCGAUGCCUCCUCCAACAGGCAGCUCCAGCAUGAGGCGGUGACCACCCGGCUUGGGCUUCUCAGGGGUGUCCCUGGGCCCACUGCCUUCCGGAUGGGCCAGCCCCACGCUGGGCAGGGGCAGGGGCAGGGGCAGAGACAGGCAGCAGCAGGGGCUUCCUCUCCUCUCUCCACAGGCGAUGUCCCGCGAGCGGAUCCACAGGCUCUGGUCACCGCGGCGGAUGCGGCUCGUGCCCUGCUUAUACACGGAGAUGAUGUUCACCGUGAACUUCCACCAGUCCCCCGCCUUGUCCGCCUUCAGGAUGUGGAUCUGGACGGCUGCAAGGAAGCACAGGCAGACGGGUGGGCUCCCAGCUGCUGUGGCUAGGUCCGCCCUGCCUGAGCCUGGGGAGAAGGGAAAGGAGACCCAGCCCCAGGAAGUGACUGCACAGAGUGGCCCAUACAGGAGCGCGUGGGUGGUGGCAAGCUGAUCGUAGACCCCCACCUGCUAACAACAGGGCCAAGAAGCCUUGCCUCCCACGCUGUGAGGGUGCCACCCAGCACUGCCGUCGGGACAAGCCAUCUCCUGGCCUUGUCAAGGCCCACUUUGUCCAGGAAGCCUACAGUAUUUUCCCUAGUAGAAGGACUUCCCCAAAUGGAGCAUGCAUCAGAAUCCCCUGGCCGGCUUGUGAAAAUACACUGCUGGGCCCCGCCCCAGAGCUUCAGAUUGAACAGAUCUGGGCUGGGCCAUGGAGUAGACUUGAGCCCUCCUGAGACAGGAGCAGCAGCUUGAAGAAACCAACACACAGGCAAGCUCUGUGGCUUCAGCAGCCACAAGGAC